RNA transcript from Telopea speciosissima, 1452 nucleotides. RefSeq lists it as uncharacterized. NCBI's taxonomy places the organism in Eukaryota, Viridiplantae, Streptophyta, Magnoliopsida, Proteales, Proteaceae. The record is from RefSeq and is a predicted model, not a curated record. The transcript has 4 exons.
ACACACUCGGCCUUUCUCCGGCACAGCUCUGAGCUCCUCUCUUAAGCCUCCGUGCUCGCUUCGUUCCCCUCACAUUCCUCGCCGUUCUCGCGUUUAAGGUUCUUGUUUCCACUUCUGCAACUCCCAAACGGUUUGGAGAGAGCAGAGACUAAUCUCUUUCGAUCAGUUUCUUGGAGACUCUUUAACAUUUGAUGGUAUUUCAAGAAAUCUCGGAGGCCGAAGAAGAAUUACAGAGUAAAAUCAUGGCCACUGCACCUGUGAAAUCUCAGCCUCUGCAUAAUUUUUCGCUGCCGUUUUUGAAAUGGGGGAAGAAUCAGAUGAACAAUCACCGCUGCCGUAAACUCGUCGAUUCUCCGUCGCCCGACCACCGAUCUUCGCCCUCCGAAGUAGAAUCUGAAGAUGCUUCUUCUUGUAUCUACAAAAAAGAUUCCGAGGCCGAGAGUCGAAAGUAUGAAAUUGGAUCACGUAGUUCUAAGAAUCGUUUCGGUUUCUUCUCUUGUUCUUCUGAUUCCUUAACGCCGGAGAAGUCAUUGAAGAAUCCGACGGCGUCCGAAGCCGACGCUGCCGGACUCGAGGAGUCUAAGACAAAGCUCCUCAUCCGUUUCCGCAAGAGUAGUAAAGAAGAGUCAGUAUCGAAGAAUAAAGUUGCUGCUGUUCCCGCUGAAGGUGGAGAAGUAGAGGAAUCGGCACCGAAGCCGUGGAAUCUGAGACCGAGGAGAGCUGUCUACAAGGCUCCUGUUGAUAACGGAGGGGCUUCAAAGAAUGGAGAUUCGCUAGAUGACCUUCCUCCGAUGCAGCAGCCGGAGAAUCUACCAAAAUCUCUUCGGUUAAGAGGUUUUGCUGAAGCUCAGAAUGUAGAGAAGAAGGAGAAGCGACAGUUCUCGAUCUCGCUUUCUCGCGAGGAGAUUGAAGAGGAUAUCUUCUCGUUGACUGGAUCCAAGCCAUCUCGGAGGCCGAAGAAGAGAGCAAGGAACAUACAGAAACAAUUGGAUAACGCUUUCCCCGGUUUGUGGUUGGCUGGGAUUACUGCUGAUUCGUAUAGAGUUUCUGACGCUGCUCCCAAGAGGUAGAUUAGAUCACUAGAGACGAAAGAGUUUCAUUUUUGGAGUCUCCAGAAGUUGGAGUCUGAUGACCUCUUCCUUGAGACCUCUAGUGGAGGCAUCCCUACUUUGUUUGGGGCAAGAAUAGCAAGUCUAUGAUUAGUUUGCAGACCAUAAAUCAUUUCGGGAAUUAGAUUGUGGGGGCACUGUUGCCGCCUUUCUCUGCAAGAACACUUGCACCUGACUCAUCUUCACAGGCAUCAAGGGGAACACCUGAUGAGGUUCAAAGUAUUUAUACAUUAGAAACAUGUUUCAUUUACCCCUUACUCUUAUUGUCAAUCAAAUGAUAAGAAUGUGGCGCAUUUUCUUCGUUAUGUGAUCUCAGUGGCUGAAAAGGGAAAAGCAUUCUCAU